Molecule: ribosomal RNA, 497 nt
Filed under: uncultured bacterium
Lineage: Bacteria
Description: partial 16S ribosomal RNA
Rfam family: Bacterial small subunit ribosomal RNA
Source: RNAcentral
GAUGAACGCUGGCGGCGUGCCUAAUACAUGCAAGUCGAGCGAACAGAUAAGGAGCUUGCUCCUUUGACGUUAGCGGCGGACGGGUGAGUAACACGUGGGUAACCUACCUAUAAGACUGGGAUAACUUCGGGAAACCGGAGCUAAUACCGGAUAACAUUUGGAACCGCAUGGUUCUAAAGUGAAAGAUGGUUUUGCUAUCACUUAUAGAUGGACCCGCGCCGUAUUAGCUAGUUGGUAAGGUAACGGCUUACCAAGGCAACGAUACGUAGCCGACCUGAGAGGGUGAUCGGCCACACUGGAGCUGAGACACGGUCCAGACUCCUACGGGAGGCAGCAGUAGGGAAUCUUCCGCAAUGGGCGAAAGCCUGACGGAGCAACGCCGCGUGAGUGAUGAAGGGUUUCGGCGCGUAAAACUCUGUUAUUAGGGAAGAACAAACGUGUAAGUAACUGUGCACGUCUUGACGGUACCUAAUCAGAAAGCCACGGCUAACUACGUG